This is a non-coding RNA of Pelobates cultripes (western spadefoot toad), 251 nucleotides long. The record is from the annotation of a GenBank genome assembly. Lineage: Eukaryota; Metazoa; Chordata; Amphibia; Anura; Pelobatidae.
CCGCUUUAAGUUGAUUUGUUUCCAGUCCUUUAAAUCCACGUGCGCUUUGGGAUUAUCUGCUGCUUCAAGUGGAGCUGUCAGAGAGAAUAUAAGGUAAAGAGAACAUUACAGUGAAGAUAGCUCUGACCGUAUCUGAGUGCUGUGCCCUUAAAUCUGUUAGCCCAUCAUAUAACUAGUGGUCCUACAGUUGGCGUCUAGCCCUCUGCCACUGUUGGCCACAUAGCCGCUUUAAUCAAGUACCAUUCCACUCG